GGGAAGCAGAGAAGGGGGGAAAGGAAAGGGAAAGGGGGGAAAUUCCGGAAAGUAUGCCUGUUUGAGGGUCAGUUAAAUAAAAAUCGGUGUUGUUGCUGCCUUUCGUGGUGACGCGUCGGAAUUGGGUCGUCUUACCUUCGGUUAAGUGACUUAAAAUUUUUGCAUGAUUUUCGAACGUAUUUAAAUCGCUUACGUACGUUUGAGAUAUCGCAACCUUAUUACGUUCGGUCAUGACCAUGCAUACCGCCUAUAAUUUUUCAUCAAAUAA
RNAcentral lists this unclassified non-coding RNA (268 nucleotides) under Glomus sp. RNAcentral describes it as "partial internal transcribed spacer 2". The record is from RNAcentral. Lineage: Eukaryota; Fungi; Glomeromycota; Glomeromycetes; Glomerales; Glomeraceae.